RNAcentral lists this ribosomal RNA (253 nucleotides) under uncultured bacterium. RNAcentral describes it as "partial 16S ribosomal RNA". It matches the Rfam family "Bacterial small subunit ribosomal RNA", at positions 524 to 776 of the family's 1533-position model. The record is from RNAcentral.
UACGUAGGGGGCAAGCGUUGUCCGGAUUCAUUGGGCGUAAAGAGCGUGUAGGCGGCCAGGUAGGUCGGUUGUGAAAACUGGAGGCUCAACCUUCAGACGUCGACCGAAACCAUCUGGCUAGAGUCCGGGAGAGGAGAGUGGAAUUCCUGGUGUAGCGGUGAAAUGCGCAGAUAUCAGGAAGAACACCCGUGGCGAAAGCGGCUCGCUGGGACGGUACUGACGCUGAGACGCGAAAGCGUGGGGAGCGAACAGG